Molecule: non-coding RNA, 145 nt
Organism: Gossypium arboreum
Lineage: Eukaryota; Viridiplantae; Streptophyta; Magnoliopsida; Malvales; Malvaceae
Source: Rfam
UAUUAAAAAUUUCAUAUAUUUUUACUGUUAAAAACUAAUAUAGCUGACAGAAUAACCAGACAGUUAUAUGUGAUGUGCCACAUGUACUUCAUUCUGAUGUAUAGGGAUAAAUUUUUAACAAUAUAUAUGAAUGGAAUUUUUACUA